CAGGCCUCCCUCUUGCAAGUCGAGCGGUAAAGAGAAGCUUGCUUCUCUUGAGAGCGGCGGACGGGUGAGUAAUACCUAGGAAUCUGCCUGAUAGGGGGGGAUAACGUUCGGAAACGGACGCUAAUACCGCAUACGUCCUACGGGAGAAAGCAGGGGACCUUCGGGCCUUGCGCUAUCAAAUGAGCCUAGGUCGGAUUAGCUAGUUGGUGAGGUAAUGGCUCACCAAGGCUACGAUCCGUAACUGGUCUGAGAGGAUGAUCAGUCACACUGGAACUGAGACACGGUCCAAACUCCUACGGGAGGCAGCAGUGGGGAAUAUUGGACAAUGGGCGAAAGCCUGAUCCAGCCAUGCCGCGUGUGUGAAAAAGGUCUUCGGAUUGUAAAGCACUUUAAGUUGGGAGGAAGGGCAGUUACCUAAUACGUGAUUGUCUUGACGUUACCGACAGAAUAAGCACCGGCUAACUCUGUG
RNAcentral lists this ribosomal RNA (469 nucleotides) under uncultured bacterium. Its description in RNAcentral is "bacterial SSU rRNA". It matches the Rfam family "Bacterial small subunit ribosomal RNA", at positions 43 to 507 of the family's 1533-position model. The record is from RNAcentral.